GUAGUUAUUUCUUUUGAACAUUUUCCCCUUUCCCUAUAUAUAUGAUGUGCUAAUCUGAGUAUUUCCCCCUCCCUUAAAUUUUAUUAUUGUUUUUCUUUCAUUAGUUAUCUUGGAUCAAAAAGGAUGAUGGAUGUUUUAUUAUCGGUCAAAAGUUGUAUUAAAAGUGAGUCCAAGGGAAUACUCAACUCAAGAUGAUUUUUUUACCACACAUAUCGUUAUUUGUUGAUUUUGAAUGUAAUUAGCUUGGCUUAAGUCCAAUUUUCUGCAAUUUUUUAGAGCUUAAUUUAUAGGUUGCGAAAGUAUGCCG
This 307-nucleotide long non-coding RNA is filed under the name Lupinus angustifolius (narrow-leaved blue lupine). RNAcentral describes it as "long non-coding RNA (LANG_LNC001460)". Lineage: Eukaryota; Viridiplantae; Streptophyta; Magnoliopsida; Fabales; Fabaceae. The record is from RNAcentral.